AGUUGAGUUGAGUUGAGUUGUAUCGUCGUUGUACAAUUAGAAACUGUCAUUAUUAUGAAAUCAAAUAUCAUAAGGGUUAAUUACUUUCUAUAUAUCAUUGGAUACAUAUCAAUAGCUGUGAUUGUGAACUAUGUUCUUAGUUCUUACUUACGUGGUCAAUGUUAAGAUUUAAGAAUAAGAAAAGAAAAAGAAAGAGAGGAAAGAAUGGAAAGGAAAGAAAUGGGAGAGAAGGAAAUAACUCAAAAGACUGCAUCUUUAUUCUUCUCAUUCAUACUAUAAAAUAUAAGGUUAUACAUAUAUACAAAUCGCCUAUAAUUACUCUACUUAAUUAGUAAUAUAAAACCUACCUAUAUAGGAAUAUAAAUCCUAUACUAAA
RNAcentral lists this unclassified non-coding RNA (376 nucleotides) under Hevea brasiliensis (rubber tree). The record is from RNAcentral. Lineage: Eukaryota; Viridiplantae; Streptophyta; Magnoliopsida; Malpighiales; Euphorbiaceae.